ACAUACGACCAUAGGGUGUGGAGAACAGGGCUUCCCGUCCGCUCAGCCGUACUUAAGCCACACGCCGGUAAGUUAGUAGUUAGGUGGGUGACCACUAGCGAAUCCUUACUGUUGUAUGUU
Ribosomal RNA from Penicillium antarcticum, 120 nucleotides. The record is from Rfam. Lineage: Eukaryota; Fungi; Ascomycota; Eurotiomycetes; Eurotiales; Aspergillaceae.